UAAGUUAUAGCUGGCCACGACCUUAUACAUAGUUGGCCACAAUCUCGUGUAUAGUCGGCAAAUACAACUAAGUAUGGCUUCAUUUCUAGUUAGUAUGUACAACUGUACUCUAGCUCACAUACAGAUGGCUCUAAUUGCCUAACAAAUUCUUCUAACGGUCUAACAAACUUUGUAACAGUCUCAUCAGCCUCUCUAUAAAUAGAAGGCCAGGGAUCCUCUAGAAGUAAGUUUACAAUUUCAAAAUUCGGAGGAGACUC
RNAcentral lists this long non-coding RNA (257 nucleotides) under Elaeis guineensis (African oil palm). RNAcentral's name for it is "long non-coding RNA (EGUI_LNC020860)". The record is from RNAcentral. Lineage: Eukaryota; Viridiplantae; Streptophyta; Magnoliopsida; Arecales; Arecaceae.